Molecule: ribosomal RNA, 200 nt
Filed under: uncultured bacterium
Lineage: Bacteria
Description: partial 16S ribosomal RNA
Rfam family: Bacterial small subunit ribosomal RNA
Source: RNAcentral
AAUGAACGCUGGCGGCGUGCUUAACUCAUGCAAGUCGAGGGGUAGGAGGGGCUUGCUCCUUCGAGACCGGCGCACGGGUGCGUAACGCGUAUGCAAUCUGCCUUGUACAGAGGGAUAGCCCAGAGAAAUUUGGAUUAAUACCUCAUAGUAUAUGGAUGUGGCAUCACAUUCAUAUUAAAGAUUUAUCGGUACAAGAUGAG